This is a long non-coding RNA of Bos indicus x Bos taurus (hybrid cattle), 1439 nucleotides long. The record is from Ensembl. Lineage: Eukaryota; Metazoa; Chordata; Mammalia; Artiodactyla; Bovidae.
CCUCUUGUUUCCCUGGCUUCAGCCUGAAUGUAGCAGUAGGAAGCUUUCUUUGGGUCUCUGCUACUAACAGCCGCAGUUAUGGGAUAGGGCAAAUCCUGAGACGUGCCUGAUACAUGGGUAACUCCGUGGAAGCCUCAGGUCUCGGUUCUGAGUCAAGUCAGGAGGCGAGGCUCAUCCAGCAAGAGCCUGUGGUUAGGCUGCCACCUAGUGUUGAGCUGGGUGUACAGCAGAAAGGCCUCUACAGGGCACCCAACCUGAGGGGCUGACAGGCAAGAAAGAGGGAAAACCAGAAAAUCUGCAAAGAAGCCAGGCUCCUGAGGGGCCCCAACCACCCCAGACCAGACGGAAAAUGCAUUUCGGGCGAAGACAAACGAUGAAGUCAGCCUGCAGCCGGAGGCCAAGAAAACUAAAAGCGCACUUUUACAGGAGCUAUGGGAACAGUCCAGGCAGAUGGAAGCAAGACACGCGGAGCAUCUGGGCAGAACGGAACCAUACGGACUUGUGCCUGGUUGCUCUGAAGGUGAAGAGUGAGGCCAGGAGGUGAGGAGCCUCAUCACGGGCCAGAUGUGUGCAAAUGGCCGUUGGGACUGAAGUCUGCAGUGAGAGAAGCUCCAGCGAGUCUGAGCAGGAGCCAGGGAGGGGGCUGCGCUAGGCUCUGGGGCUUGGAGAGGCGGGACUAAGGGGUGAUUGACAGGACGGCCAGCGACAGGCCCAAGGAGCAUUUGGGCUGCUAUUGGCAAGGGGGACAGAAGACCCAAGCUUAGAGAAAUGCACCAGCGAGUAGAUGGGGCCCUGAGAACAGGCAACAGGGGGUAUCUGAGCUGGGGCCUCUCUUGAUAAGAUUACAGGAGAAGAGAAAAACUCUGCCAGCUCAUGUGCUGAUAGGUACCAGCUAGGGAGGGAGACCAAGGGGCCCCAGGGGAUGCUAUUUGCCGUGGGUGGGCAGAACUGUCAUAAGUUCAGAGCCCCCAGGUGAGAAAUAGCAAAAUGUUUUCUUCUAAAAAAAAGUUUUCUUCUCAUCUGCCUGGACCAUGUCAGUAAGGCAUGGGGCAGCUCCUGGGAGAGCAGGCAGCAAAUCACUGGUGAGCUGGAAGACAGAGUCCUGGGUUGUCCACUGUGCAGAUUCAAUGCUGCAGAUAAGGAGUGUGUGUCUGGUAUAGCUGUCCACGUCUGCUGCUGCUGCUAAGUCGCUUCAGUCGUGUCCGACUCUGUGCGACCCCAUAGACGGCAGCCCACCAGGCUCCCCGUCCCUGGGAUUCUCCAGGCAAGAACACUGGAGUGGGUUGCCAUUUCCUUCUCCAAUGCAUGAAAGUGAAAAGUCAAAGUGAAGUCGCUCAGUCGAGUCCGACUCUUAGCGACCCCAUGGACUGCGGCCCACCAGGCUCCUCCGUCCAUGGGAUUUUCCAGGCGAGAGUACUGGAGUGGGGUGCCAUUGUCCA